Molecule: non-coding RNA, 73 nt
Organism: Bacteroidetes bacterium 46-16
Lineage: Bacteria; Pseudomonadati; Bacteroidota
Source: Rfam
GCGGAAGUAGCUCAGUUGGUAGAGCAUCACCUUGCCAAGGUGAGGGUCGCGGGUUCGAGUCUCGUCUUCCGCU